This is a long non-coding RNA of Dermacentor andersoni, 629 nucleotides long. RefSeq lists it as uncharacterized. The record is from RefSeq and is a predicted model, not a curated record. NCBI's taxonomy places the organism in Eukaryota, Metazoa, Arthropoda, Arachnida, Ixodida, Ixodidae.
UUAUUUUUCCAUUUCUCUGUCUGAGAAUUUUCAGUCGGACGAAGCGCGGGAAGCGGUUGCCUUCGUGCAUCCGUCGAACUUACUUACCGCCGCUCAACCUUGCCACUCGCUCAGCGAUAUCACAAGUCAGAUCGCGCUUGGUCAUCUGCUUCGGUUGUCGUCCCAAGUAGGAAGAUAGGAAAGAUAAGACAGAGAAGCUAGGUCAGGCAUCCAACGAACAGAAAACGGAGGAAACCAAGCCAAUAAAGCUUUAGACGAAGAUGGCUAAAUCGGGGCGUCGCAUGUGUUGCGUGGCUCUGUGGGGCUCUAACACCGAGAGUUCCAGUCCUGCGAAGUUUUUCACGUUUCCUAAUGACAGCCGGAGCUGGCCACGUAACUGAAGCCGAGUUUCUGCAGGAUGUACCGGCCCGUGGCUGUCAGGGACAUGCAUUCGAAUUGCGAGGCUCUUUGCGCAUCCACGAUUUCCUCAAGUGUGUUGUAUACCCCCGACUGUAGCAGACGAGCAGUGCUUGUGAACUCCGCGUGCGGGCAAGCCAUUCUCCUCUUACACGGACUUCUCGGUGCACCGCAGCAACAGAACUGGCAAAAAUUAUUGUUGAGUGUCCGCAUAAUUAUCGUAAUAAAAUAGA